UACGGGGGGAGCAAGCGUUGUUCGGAUUUACUGGGCGUAAAGGGCGCGUAGGCGGCCACCGCAAGUCGGUUGUGAAAUCUCCGGGCUUAACCCGGAAAGGUCAAUCGAUACUGCGGGGCUAGAGUGCAGAAGGGGCAACUGGAAUUCUCGGUGUAGCGGUGAAAUGCGUAGAUAUCGAGAGGAACACCUGCGGCGAAGGCGGGUUGCUGGGCUGACACUGACGCUGAGGAGCGAAAGCCAGGGGAGCAAACGGG
This 254-nucleotide ribosomal RNA is filed under the name uncultured bacterium. RNAcentral describes it as "partial 16S ribosomal RNA". It matches the Rfam family "Bacterial small subunit ribosomal RNA", at positions 524 to 776 of the family's 1533-position model. The record is from RNAcentral.